UACGGAGGGUGCGAGCGUUGUUCGGAAUCACUGGGCGUAAAGGGCGCGUAGGCGGUCUUAUAAGUCAGAUGUGAAAGCCCACGGCUUAACCGUGUGAAGUGCAUCUGAAACUGGUCGGCUUGAGUAUCGGAGAGGAAAGUGGAAUUCCCGGUGUAGAGGUGAAAUUCGUAGAUAUCGGGAGGAAUACCGGUGGCGAAGGCGACUUUCUGGACGAAUACUGACGCUGAGGCGCGAAAGCGUGGGGAGCAAACAGGAUUAGAUACCCGUGUAGU
RNAcentral lists this ribosomal RNA (272 nucleotides) under uncultured bacterium. RNAcentral describes it as "partial 16S ribosomal RNA". It matches the Rfam family "Bacterial small subunit ribosomal RNA", at positions 524 to 794 of the family's 1533-position model. The record is from RNAcentral.